CAAAAACAUAGCCCUACGACACUCUUGUAAGGUGAAGCCUGCCCAAUGACUGCCAAUAAUCUAAUAAAAAUCAGUUCAAUGGCCGCGGUAACUCUGACCGUGAUAAAGUAGCAUAAUCACUUGUCACUUAAUUGGUGACUGGAAUGAAUGGCUAAACGAAUCCUCCUCUGUCUCUGAAGAAAUCCUGGCAAAUUUGAAAUAGCAGUGAAGAUGCUGCUAAAUAAUUGUAAGACGAAAAGACCCUAUCGAGCUUUACUGGAAUCUUGCAAAGUAACAUAGUUAUUAAGGACAAAAUUAUACAAAUUGCAAGCCCGACAGUUUGGUUGGGGCGACCACCCCUAAAAACGUAUCAGGGGAACUCUAAAGGCUGUCAUAAUAUGAAAAACCGCCUUACUGGAGACAAACAAGUCAAUCAGUUAUAAUUUAUAGGACAUAUUGACCCGUUAUUUAGCUUCACAACAAAUAACGACUAUGAAAAAAGUUACCGUAGGGAUAACAGGGUAAUAUUU
This 509-nucleotide ribosomal RNA is filed under the name Aurelia sp. 1 JRH-2014. Its description in RNAcentral is "partial 16S ribosomal RNA". It matches the Rfam family "Bacterial large subunit ribosomal RNA", at positions 1808 to 2490 of the family's 2925-position model. Lineage: Eukaryota; Metazoa; Cnidaria; Scyphozoa; Semaeostomeae; Ulmaridae. The record is from RNAcentral.